RNAcentral lists this ribosomal RNA (471 nucleotides) under uncultured bacterium. Its description in RNAcentral is "bacterial SSU rRNA". It matches the Rfam family "Bacterial small subunit ribosomal RNA", at positions 28 to 507 of the family's 1533-position model. The record is from RNAcentral.
GACGAACGCUGGCGGCGCGCCUAACACAUGCAAGUCGAACGAGCGAGAGAGAGUUUACUUUUUCGAGCGAGUGGCGAACGGGUGAGUAACGCGUGAGGAACCUGCCUCAAAGAGGGGGACAACAGUUGGAAACGACUGCUAAUACCGCAUAAGCCCACGACCCGGCAUCGGGUAGAGGGAAAAGGAGCAAUCCGCUUUGAGAUGGCCUCGCGUCCGAUUAGCUAGUUGGUGAGGUAACGGCCCACCAAGGCGACGAUCGGUAGCCGGACUGAGAGGUUGAACGGCCACAUUGGGACUGAGACACGGCCCAGACUCCUACGGGAGGCAGCAGUGGGGAAUAUUGCACAAUGGGGGAAACCCUGAUGCAGCGACGCCGCGUGAAGGAGAAGGUUUUCGGAUUGUAAACUCCUGUCGUUAGGGACGAUAAGUGAACGGGUACCUAACGAAGAAAGCAACCGGGCUAACUACGUG